AUGAACGCUGGCGGCGUGCCUAACACAUGCAAGUCGGGAACGGGGCUAUCGCGCUGAUGAUCAAGAUGCUUGCAUUGAGAGAAUCUUGUGGUAGCUUAGUGGCGGACGGGUGAGUAACGUGUGGAUAACCUGGUCCAUCCAGGGGGAUAGCAGCUGGAAACGGCUGGUAAUACCGCAUGAGCGCACACUACCGCAUGGUAGAGUGUGAAAAGAUUUAUCGGGAUGGAAUGGAUCCGCAUCUGAUUAGCCAGUUGGCGGGGUAGAAGCCCACCAAAGCGACGAUCAGUAGCCGGCCUGAGAGGGCGGACGGCCACAUUGGGACUGAGACACGGCCCAAACUCCUACGGGAGGCAGCAGUGGGGAAUAUUGGGCAAUGGGGGGAAAAACCCCCUGACCCAGCAACGCCGCGUGAGGGAAGAAGGUUUUCGGAUCGUAAACCUCUGUCCUUGGUGAAGAGGAAGAGACGGUAGCCAAGGAGGAAGCCCCGGCUAACUACGUGCCAGCCGCAGC
This 510-nucleotide ribosomal RNA is filed under the name uncultured bacterium. RNAcentral's name for it is "bacterial SSU rRNA". It matches the Rfam family "Bacterial small subunit ribosomal RNA", at positions 29 to 518 of the family's 1533-position model. The record is from RNAcentral.